Molecule: ribosomal RNA, 484 nt
Filed under: uncultured bacterium
Lineage: Bacteria
Description: partial 16S ribosomal RNA
Rfam family: Bacterial small subunit ribosomal RNA
Source: RNAcentral
AUUGAACGCUGGCGGCAGGCCUAACACAUGCAAGUCGAGCGGAUGAAGGGAGCUUGCUCCUGGAUUCAGCGGCGGACGGGUGAGUAAUGCCCAGGAAUCUGCCUGGUAGUGGGGGAUAACGUCCGGAAACGGGCGCUAAUACCGCAUACGUCCUGAGGGAGAAAGUGGGGGAUCUUCGGACCUCACGCUAUCAGAUGAGCCUAGGUCGGAUUAGCUAGGUGGUGGGGUAAAGGCCUACCAAGGCGACGAUCCGUAACUGGUCUGAGAGGGUGAUCAGUCACACUGGAACUGAGACACGGUCCAGACUCCUACGGGAGGCAGCAGUAGGGAAUAUUGGACAAUGGGCGAAAGCCUGAUCCAGCAACGCCGCGUGUGUGAAGAAGGUCUUCGGAUUGUAAAGCUCUUUAAGUAGGGAAGAAGGACAGUGAAUUAAUACCUUGCUGUUUUGACGUUACCAACAGAGUAAGCACCGGCUAACUUCGUG